CCGGCCCGCAGUGCUGCUCGACGGCGCCGUCUACGACCUGAGCAUCCGCGACGGCGACGGCGCUGGCCCCAGCCCGAGCCCCGGGGGUGUCGAGGUAGCGGCUGGAGAAGCGGGCAGGGGCAUGUGACGGUGUGAGGUGUGUCUGUUCGGUGCACACGUGCGUGUCCGCGUGGAUGGCCCCAGGGCGCCCGACUACGCUCAGGGACUGAAAGAUGAAUGAGUGUCCUGGUUUCGUGUCUCAGCCCUCCCUCCCUGCAGGCCUGCAGUCGCCCAAGCCAUGGGUGGGGAGAUUUUGCCAAGUGGCUUUUUCUUCCUCCUGUGGGUGCCUCUGUCUUUGCCUGCCUCCACCGGUGGGUCCGGGUCGGUGCGUGGCGCAGCGUGGCCGCGCCUCCCCAAGGGUGCGGGGUGUGUUUGGGGCCCUGAGCAGAGCCGCAGUGAAGAGACUGGGGCCGGGCACAGGGGUGUGCCUUCUAGGGGAGACAUUCUCUGCUCCCUCAUUCCUGUGCCCUGGAGCAAACACCUGUUCAGUAAUUUGUGCAAAGUCCAGGACAGACGCCCAAUCCUAGGAGCUGAAUGCCACCGAGAGGCGAAGAGGAAAGGAGCAGGCAGGAUUAAGCAGCGCUUCCUGGCGGGGGUGGCAUUUAAGCUGAACCUGGAACUAAUUUACUGAGUGAAUUUUUCGGUAAAACAAGUGGCAAGAAUCAUUUCUGGUGGAAAGACCAGCAGGAGUGGCCCGACCCUAAGGAUUGGAGCUUGCAGGACACAGACGCCUUCGUGCUGGUCUACGACAUCUGCAGCCCCGACAGUUUCGACUACGUGAAGGCCCUGCGGCAGCGCAUCGCGGAGACCAGGCCGGCGGGCGCCCCCGAAGCACCCAUCCUCGUGGUAGGCAACAAGCGGGACCGGCAGCGGCUGCGCUUCGGACCGCGGCGUGCGCUGGCAGCCCUGGUGCGCAGGGGCUGGCGCUGCGGCUACCUCGAGUGCUCGGCCAAGUACAACUGGCACGUGCUGCGCCUCUUCCGCGAGCUGCUGCGCUGCGCUCUGGUGCGCGCGCGCCCUGCACACCCGGCCCUACGCCUGCAGGGGGCGCUGCACCCCGCGCGCUGCAGCCUCAUGUGACCAGAUAGGACGCCGCCGCCCGUGGGUCCUCCAUUUGACGGGAACAGGGACCUGGAUUGGACCAGAUUGCCCAACUUCACUCGGAAUGGACAGGGCACAGUCUCCUCCCUGAUUGGAUGAGGAAACCUCCCACCUAAUCUCCUGGGCGACAGGCCUGUCUUUGAACUUCAUUGCAUCCAGCCAGGUUCAAGCCCCAUUUGACACUACCAGUCCUCUCUGGGACCUCACCGGGUGACAGGCCCACUGGAUGGCAAGGACCUGGCCAUGAAUGUGACUGGAAGUGCUCAGACUGCUCCUGGAACUUCACUGGACAUAUUCUUUAUGCCACACCUCUCGCUCCGUAAUAAAAGGGGAAGCAAUUUGAGUUCA
This is a non-coding RNA of Microcebus murinus (gray mouse lemur), 1488 nucleotides long. The record is from RefSeq and is a predicted model, not a curated record. Lineage: Eukaryota; Metazoa; Chordata; Mammalia; Primates; Cheirogaleidae.